Lolium rigidum is the source of this 6389-nucleotide long non-coding RNA. RefSeq lists it as uncharacterized. The transcript is spliced from 8 exons. Lineage: Eukaryota; Viridiplantae; Streptophyta; Magnoliopsida; Poales; Poaceae. The record is from RefSeq and is a predicted model, not a curated record.
GAAGGACGAGCUCGGCGGUGCGUGGCGAUCUCCUCUUCGCCGGCGGAUACAGGGCGGAAUGGUCACGGCGGAAGUCCUCAUGGCCAUAGAGGCGUGGUUCUCGCACGAGGGGCUGGGAGAGGCAGGUGGGGGUUUGACCCUAGAUGCAGCCAGAUCUGAGCCACGGGAGGCACCUUCGGUCCUGAGCGCGCGCGGCAGGGAUGGCGUUGAUCUCCUUCUCCCUACUCUCGCGCCGCCGUGACCAUUCCGCCCCCUCCCCCUUCUCCUCUAUGCGGUCACUGCGGUGUGGUGCUCCUCCCCGAGCACGAGCGCGGUCGGCUUCCUCUCCCCCGACCACGAGCUUAGCGACUAGGGUUGCGGCUGUGGGCUGGCCGCCCCUGGCAUCUCCUCUUCUCACCAUCUGUCGUUACCGCUGCAGCGCCUCUCUCCCCGGCCGCCGGCGGUGGCCUCUUCCUGUGCCCCUAACCACGACCUCAAGCAUGCCAUAAUCAACCUCCUCUGCGGCGCCUUCUCCCCCAUCGGCGCUUCCUCCUCCCCUGGCCACAGCGUGGUUCGUCCCCGCACUACUAAAGUACCAAGUGAUGUACAGGUCGUGCUAGAAAUUUGGUUGUUGGAAGGGCUAGGUGAGGGGACAGAGGAUGAUGUAUUGGAAGAUGACCAGAGCUCUCUUUGGUGUUGGAGGUGCAUGUCCUACUUUUAGUGUGUGCAAACAUCUUAUAUUGAUGAUAGAAAAUGGUAGGCAUCUCCUCUUCUCAUUAACCAGUUUGUAUUGCUGGAGUGGAUCGACGACAGGUACGGCUUCAUUCCCCCUCUUAGUUCUCAGUUUAUUUCAUUUCCUAUGAGAGACGUCAGAUUGGUGUGACAGUAUGAAGGCCUAGAGUGUUAGAGCGAGCCAUCUUGCAUGAUUGUGUUUUCUCCCAAAGUUUUUUUUUACUCCAGAGUGUAUCUGUGAAUUUAUCUAUGUAGAUAACAAACAGAUGUGCGGUCAAAAUAAAGAUGAGAGGGGAUAUGGGUUUCAAAAAAUUCAUUUACCUGUGUAUUCAUGUAUGUUGCAUCUUAUAGCUGGAAGUUGUUAUGCAAUUUCAUUUCGCGGUGAGAUUACAAUCCGCAAAAGAUUUGUUGUCGAGUGUUGUUUUUUUUUGUCAGACACCCACACAUCUACAGGUUGGAGGGUAUUUUCCUUCGUAUUAAAAACUACACAAUAUUCUUUUGAUUUCUGGUUAUAUGGCUGACUAAAAUCGUGAGAGGAACAGCGCUCACAUCUCUUCUUUCUGCUUGGUGUCUUCUAAUUCUUGGUAGACUGUUCUCACUGAACAUUGACAGUACCACAAUUUUCUUCUAACUUUCUGAUUAAAGAUUUGCUGCUCGGAGCUGAGUGGGUAUUAUGCAUCCUAAUGACACUGCAGUACCAAGUGAGUACUACUUUUUAUUUCAGUCCUUUCAUUCCCCUCCACCAAAUUAGUUUUGCUUUUAGCAUGGUCUGACAAGGUGGAGAUACUGUCUUAACAGAGGAUUCUGUUUUAAUUUAGGCUGAUGAAAAGGAGCCUUGACUUCUCAGUUAGCUUAUUUGAGGAUCUUAAUAACAAUUAUUCAUCAAGCAAGCUUAUUGCUUCACUGCCUCUUUUGUAGAGAUAGUUCAUGCUAUCUUAGAUCUUAUUUUUCAUCAAACGAGCUUAUUACCUGGCACUCAUCCCAUUGCAUGCUUAGUUCUGCAGUCACUUUGACUAAGCUUAACCCUUCAUCACAAUGUUAGUGGUUUCUUUCCCAUACCACUCGCUCUAAUUCAGCGAUCCCAUGGCACUACGGAUUCUGCUCUAAUCUUGAAUGUCCUUGUGCUAUUCUGUUGCCUAGAUAAUUAUCUAUGUUAUUUGCUUAUGUACAGUUCUAUACGCUUCCCAUGCUUAGUAUCUUUAUCCCUCCCAUAAUAUGUUAGGUACCAAACUUUGUAGGUUGAUUUAGACAAAGAUUUCCAAGCUGAUUAUGUGAGAACUUUGUAGGUUGAUUUAGACAAAGAUUUCCAAGCUGAUUAUGUGAGGGAUGGAAUCAUAAAUAAGAUUAUUUUAUUUAAGAAAAUUAUAUAAGAAUUUGAUAGUUCAGCGCUUCCAUACCCGCGUGAGCCUUGCUAGACCUAUGCAUGACAUAUCCACAUCAUUAUUUUUUUGCCCUGGUUGGGUGAUGUGUCUGCCAUCGUGAAAGUUAUCUUAUGCCCUUAUUUUCCUGUAAAGUGAAUGUGCAAAAUCAUGUUAGUCUCUAGGUAUCUCUGUAAAUGAUGAAACCGGUCAUAUAACAUGAAUGCCAACAAUCUAUACCCCUUCGAUGUGGUCUGCAGAAAAUACCAAGUUAUGCAAUCGCCAUAGGUGUUGAUGUUUAUUGGAAUUCACAUUUCAUCCACCUCUACCAAUGGAAAUGGUGUGAUAGAAGUACAUCUGGUUGUUAUUAUCUCAUGCCUAAUUUCUGCUAAUUUGAAACAGGCCUAGAUGACAUGCUUAAAUGAUAUAGUGUUGAUUUGUGCAUAUCUAUUCAUGGUAUAUUUUUCUAUACCGUUAUCUUUUCAUGGAUUAUGCAUGACAGAUCUUUAGAUGACAUUUAUGUUUAGGAGUCAAGCUGUAGGAUCUCGAUGCCGGGGACCUAGCAGCGUCCAUCUGCGAGCUGCAGGGCGUCGAGCUGCUCCGCCUCAAAAGGACCAAGACCAACAUUGGCUCUUCAGAUACGAUCUCGAAGCCGUCGCUGGACAGGCCCGUGUUUCUGUCAGUGUAGUUGUUUGUCAGAAUUCUUCUGCAGACUUUUAAAGAGGAGGGAAUUGCAACUAUGUCCUACAGUAACAAGGUAACUAAUUUGCGUUGCUCGUGUCUGAAAAAAUAUAGUAAUUAGAAACUAGGCUACGGGAGGAAUAUGAAUAUGAGACAGUGUCCCUGAUCUCCCAUAUUGUACAUCCGCACACUGUGCUCAACAUAUGGGUGCCAAAGAGUUUAUUUACCUUGUGCCAUUUAGCCUAUGAUCGCUGCUUUCUGUAGAAAAGUGUGCAUAUGUUUUGAUUAAUGGUGCUUUAUUUUGUCUAGGAUGAAAUGAUAGUUGCGCAGGGAAAUCUUUUCUCUUAUCUUUGGGGAUAAACCAAUGAUCUUGGUUAUAUGAUCGAGUUCAAUCCCCCGAGGAAAAAUAACUUGCAUGUUUCUUUCCAAUGGCAAUAAAAUUUCAUUUUCCAUGUGUUUGUAAGUUAAUGCAUGGCUUUCUUCUACAUCUUAUUUAAAGUUGGUCUGAUUAGCAAAACCCUGCCACGAGGCAACACUAGCCAAUGGUGCUUCCGAGUAAAACUUACUGAAAGUUCAUGCAUGCAUCAUAGAAGAAAAAGAGGCUAAAAGCUUGUGAAGUUUAUGCAAUUUUGAAGAAAGGAUUAUUCUCUAGGGCUAUUCGUGGUGAUGAUUUGCUCUGUAACCUAUAAGCGUUCUUAUUUAAGAUGAAGUUGCUAUUGAGUGAGUGGUUUCCUUGCUCUACUGCAUAUGCUGAGUGACAACAAGUAUGGUUCACAACAUCUCAAUGGCUGCCUAUGCUCUGUCAUGUUUAGUUUCUGUAUUCGACGGCAACCAAUUUAUGAUCUCAAGAUUUUUACUACAAUCUAUGCAAAAAGCUUCCCAGUUUCAGUAUUCUCUCGUCUUUCUGAACAUUCAACUGACUUCUAAUUUUUGUUUUGGUGGUAUAAUGUGUUAAUUGUGCUCCAGGCUUAAGGCCUAUUUCACUUAGGUAUAGACAAUAUAGUACUACGGCUACUUAGGGUUUGGUUAUCUUCAUAUGUGGCGCAUAAUUGCCAUUGUUGCUAAGAUCUCAAAGUAUAACAUAAGGUAUUCAUUAGAAUCUUUCCUUCAGCAUGGCUCUGGCAAAGGCAGUAUGAUGUGCCCUCCCUCACGUUAUACAGUAGUACUGGAACAUAUAGUCUUAAUGAUCCAAUAGAGUAUCCACUACGCUUUUUUCCUUAAAAAAAGAAGAGAUAACCCAAUAAUCCAAUCAAAGUGUUCAUGAUAAACCAUUAUUUGUUAUUUGAAAGCUUAAAUUGCUUUUAUGUUUGAAAGCUCUGUUAUGUUUUUGAGCCCUAUGUGUCUUUAUGUAUGAGAUGUGUGAUGUACACAUUGGACAUCCAGUAUGUUGUUAUAGUUGCAGUUAAUUUCGUUAUCCACAAAGUAGUGGCACUAUUGAGUAUCCGCGCUUAUUUUCUUAGUCUCAAGUUUGCUGAUUAUUUAUCAUAUUCACUUUUCUAUUACAAUAUUGUUCAACUAUUAGCAUUUAGUAGAUCCAGUCCAUGAUUUUUAUGGAACUAACAAGUAGCAAAGCGUAGACUCUGCAAGCUUUGGUGCUCUGCUUUACUUGGAAAAGGCAUACACCACCUUUGUGGGGAGGCAGGCCUAUCUAAACGCAGAGAAUCAUCAUAAGCACAUUAGUUUGAGUCCCAAUGAUACUCAAUUGCUAUCCCCCAGUCUUGGUUGGUGUGUCCUCUCCAAGGUAAACCAUACACAUGCUUGCUUCUACGAAACACUAUCUUUUCUGAAAGAAUUAAAUAUAAAUGUUGAUGCAUCUACACAUAUAUAUAUAACGAUAACUCACAAAAUGUAUUGGUUUAGUAUAUUUCUCAGCCUUCAAUUGAUAAUGUGAAUUGUUUCAGAGUUACAUAGCACACCUCAACAAAUCCGAAAAUUCAUAAUUAGACUCCAUUUUGCUAAAACAUUUACAUGGUUAGUAAGGCUUUCGUUACAAUUUAUGUCUCUCUUGCCACAUAGAUUCGAAAGUAGAUUUAUCUCUGUUGAUAAUCAUGCUUGCUUUUCUGAAAGUAACUCUCAUGAAGUGAUUCUUGAUGUUGUAGUACAUGCUGGUUCUCUGCACAUUUAACUGCAGCGUGGUUAGGUUUGGGUCCGGAAGAUUGCAUGAUAGAACUGCAGGGUGGUUAGGGUCGGGUCUGGAAGAAAUUUUACACCUUAUCCUUCAGGAUUUUAAUGCUACAUUUAUUUGAUUAAUACAAUCCUUUAUCCCGAAGAAAAACUUUUGUGUGACUCAUACUAAUUAGUUUUGUUGUGGCUCCAAAUUCGCAGGAAUAAGCCAUUAGCUUCUGAGGUUCAUCAGUCUAGAGCCUAAAGGUCAACCUCUGCCUAUGUCAGGUACAGUAUUGUGCAAGAGGCUGAAUAUUUUAUGCAAGAUGUGUGAGGACAACAAGAUUUAUGUUACUGUUGAUUUCAACACCUUUAUACUGCCCUUUGAAGGUUCAAGUGCCCUGUUAAUUAUACCAGUGGAAUAUUCUAUGGAUGAUUACUUAUAGUAUACAUACCCUUGAAGAAUAGAAUGCUUUCGCCAUGAAGGUGACUGAAAAGUGCGAUAUCUACAGUUUCGUGGGUGUUUUGUUGGAACUAAUGUGCAAUUCAGGUUCUUGAGAAAGGACAUCUUGUCAAUUUUUGUGAGGCAGACAAUGAAUAGCAUGCCACCAAAUUCGGAAGUUUUCUACAACAGCCUCUAUCUGAACUCAAAGAGGGUUGCGGAAGAAAUCACUCUGGUACUGAAGAUUGCAUUAUUCUGCACCAGUGAAUCACCAUUAGAUAGGCCUAGCAUGGCGAGAAGUGAUAUCCAUGUUGAUCAUUGCUCGGGCCUCCUCUUGUGAUUUAUUCUCAUCUCCAGCAUCGGAGCCACCUACCGAACAUUAUUCGCCCUUUUCAGAUUAAGAGGUGAGGUGAAGUGAUCUUAUGGUUACGUUAAGGAGCUCAACAAGCAAUCCAGGCAAACAUCUUCAAGAUAAGGAGUAUUCACUGAUUAAGUUCAUAGCUGAAGACCAUUUAGUGUAUGCCCUGAGCUUGUGGAAGCUGUCUCUUUACGUGGCCUACCAAUGGAAAAGGACAUCUAUCUUUCUGAGUUCUGAGCAAGAUAAAGUCCCCAAGCGGGUGGGAAUUUUCUGGAUUUAACCACUGGUUGAAGCAUAUGAGGUUGUAUAUUCUUAGUUCAACUACAGCUCUUUUAGUGGAGGCAGAUAAUUCAAGGUGUUCGUUUCAUGGUAGACAGGUGAAGCAUUUGAGGUGAACCUGUCUACCUCUGAAAAUUAAACAGAUCCACUGGCCUAAGGAUGAUACAGUAGGAGUAGCAGUUUAGCACUACAUUGCACAGAUUGCCAUCGACUCACUUGGCAUCUGGUACAUGUUACUACUAAGCUACUGAGAUCACCAUCAAAAUCACAACUGGACAAGAUUCUGAACUAACUGAAGAUAGCUCACUUUCCCUUUUAUGGUACAUGCUUCGGAAUACUAAUGAUAGUUGUAAUCUGGAGCAUAAAAGGAACAACUUCUUCUUUUUUGAAUGGUAUAUAUUCUCUGUAUAUAAUUGACAUGGAGAAUCUCACUACUUAGGCACAUAUUGUACUUUCA